Small nuclear RNA from Trichechus manatus latirostris (Florida manatee), 107 nucleotides. NCBI's taxonomy places the organism in Eukaryota, Metazoa, Chordata, Mammalia, Sirenia, Trichechidae. The record is from RefSeq and is a predicted model, not a curated record.
GUGCUCGCUUCCACAGCACAUAUACUAAAAUUGGAACGAUACAGAGAAGAUUAGCAUGACCCCUGUGCAAGGAUGACAUACGAAUUUGUCAAGUGUUCCACAUUUUU